Molecule: ribosomal RNA, 446 nt
Filed under: uncultured bacterium
Lineage: Bacteria
Description: partial 16S ribosomal RNA
Rfam family: Bacterial small subunit ribosomal RNA
Source: RNAcentral
CCUACGGGAGGCAGCAGUCGAGAAUCAUUCACAAUGGGGGAAACCCUGAUGGUGCGACGCCGCGUGGGGGAAUGAAGGUCUUCGGAUUGUAAACCCCUGUCAUGUGGGAGCAAAUUAAAAAGAUAGUACCACAAGAGGAAGAGACGGCUAACUCUGUGCCAGCAGCCGCGGUAAUACAGAGGUCUCAAGCGUUGUGCGGAAUCACUGGGCGUAAGGCGUGCGUAGGCUGUUUCGUAAGUCGUGUGUGAAAGGCGCGGGCUCAACCCGCGGACGGCACAUGAUACUGCGAGACUAGAGUAAUGGAGGGGGAACCGGAAUUCUCGGUGUAGCAGUGAAAUGCGUAGAUAUCGAGAGGAACACUCGUGGCGAAGGCGGGUUCCUGGACAUUAACUGACGCUGAGGCACGAAGGCCAGGGGAGCGAAAGGGAUUAGAUACCCUUGUAGUC